Molecule: non-coding RNA, 944 nt
Organism: Salvia hispanica
Lineage: Eukaryota; Viridiplantae; Streptophyta; Magnoliopsida; Lamiales; Lamiaceae
Source: RefSeq, a predicted model, not a curated record
UUAUAUUAGUAAAUUGAGCCGAGAGCACAUAGAAAGAAAAAGAACAAAGAUUGAGAAUUAUAGAGCAGGAGAUGAAAUUAGGAGCAUGAUUGAACUAUCAGUCGUAAUCAGGAAUAAGAUAGCAGUGAACUUUUUGGGUUGACGUGAGUCAUAGGAACUCCACAUGUUAUCAGGGUCGGCGGCUGACGCAUUUUUGGAAACAUUCUCCUCCUCAUCAUUUUUUGCAUGUAGAUAAAUAUAUAGUAUAUAGAGUGGUGAGAGGGCCCCACUACAAUUUAGAAUGUUUGAAAUAUGUACUUGAAGCGUGAGUUAAUUUAUUUAAUAUAUAGAAUUUAUUUAUAGUAAGUGCAUACGUCAUAAGGGUUGAGGAGUGACAGUUUAGGUGGUAUCAGAGAGGGGAUAGAAUCCCGCUGGGACAUAGCAUUCGUGCAUAUCGUAUGAUAUAUUUUGAUCAUAAGUUUCAUUUGCAUUUUAAUUAUCAUGAACAUGUCUCACCGAGGAGAGAAGGGUCAGCCGCCCUACAUCAUCAAUUAAUUAUAACAUUUCAUAUACAUGUUGCAUCAUAUGAGGAUUUCCCAGACUUUAGAACAAAGAGUACAUGGACCAAUGAUGAGGUAAAGAGGUAGAAAAUUUAAAAGAGCUCGAAAAAGUAGAAGUUAUUGAUUUUAUGGGACUAAUCUGACUGAGGCUGAGAUAUAGUUAAAAGUGAUAGAACCGGUGUUCAAUCAGAUGAGUUGUAUGUCAGAAGAAGGUUUUGAUUAUAGGGUAUCUCUUCUUUGAAGCAAUACUUACUCUUGGUGGGAAACAGUCCCACAAGCUAUAAUACAACCUUUGGUAUUCAGUUCAGACGAUUUUUCUAGAGAACCCAAUGUUAAAGCAAAGAAGUGCACUGUGAUAAGAAGCAAAGAAGGUUUUGUCUUUAAUCAAGGAACUAUAUUUGUUGA